GAAACCGAGCGCGUUGAAGAACCGCGCAUCGGUGAACAUCCGCGUA
RNAcentral lists this small RNA (46 nucleotides) under Sinorhizobium meliloti 2011. RNAcentral describes it as "putative ncRNA". The record is from RNAcentral. Lineage: Bacteria; Pseudomonadati; Pseudomonadota; Alphaproteobacteria; Hyphomicrobiales; Rhizobiaceae.